AGUGAACGCUGGCGGUAGGCCUAACACAUGCCAGUCGAACGGCAGCACAGUAAGAGCUUGCUCUUACGGGUGGCGAGUGGCGGACGGGUGAGGAAUACAUCGGAAUCUACUUUUUCGUGGGGGAUAGCGUAGGGAAACUUACGCUAAUACCGCAUACGACCUACGGGUGAAAGCAGGGAAUCUUCGGACCUUGCGCGAUGAAAUGAGCUGAUGUCGGAUUAGCUAGUUGGAGAGGGAAAGGCCCACCAAGGCGACGAUGGGUAGCCGGUCUGAGAGGAUGAUAGGACACAAUGGGACUGAGACACGGCCAUAACGCGUACGGGAGGCAGCAGUGGGGAAUAUAUGACAAUGUACCGAGAGUCUGAUCAAGCAAUUCUGUGUGCACGAUGAAGUUUUUCGGAAUGUAAAGUGCUUUCAGUUGGGAAGAAACAAAUGACGGUACCAACAGAAGAAGUGACGGCUAAAUACGUG
RNAcentral lists this ribosomal RNA (471 nucleotides) under uncultured bacterium. RNAcentral's name for it is "partial 16S ribosomal RNA". It matches the Rfam family "Bacterial small subunit ribosomal RNA", at positions 29 to 507 of the family's 1533-position model. The record is from RNAcentral.